UGCACGCGGUACGUUACCUUAGUGUAGCUUUUUCUCCAAAGGUACCAAGUGAAUGGGAGAUAAAUGGGGAUGGCAAUUUUUUAUCCUACCCAUUUACUUAACUUGGAUUUCGCCCAUCUAAUCCAAUUUUUGCACAGGUUGGGUAUAAGUUCCAAGAUAUAUAUAUAUAAUAUUAUUAUUUUUGUAUAUAUAUACACACACACACUCACACACUUAUAUUUGUUUAAAUAAAUUUCUAGAGUGAAUUUGAGUCAUUGGAUCAAUUAUCUAAUAGCUCAAAAUCUAACUAGAUUAAUAAGAAAGGUAGAAGGACUACUAAACCUAAACCACCUUUAAUUUCCACUCUCUUCUCCUCAUCUC
RNAcentral lists this long non-coding RNA (360 nucleotides) under Phoenix dactylifera (date palm). Its description in RNAcentral is "long non-coding RNA (PDAC_LNC000032)". Lineage: Eukaryota; Viridiplantae; Streptophyta; Magnoliopsida; Arecales; Arecaceae. The record is from RNAcentral.